Molecule: long non-coding RNA, 9710 nt
Filed under: Gallus gallus (chicken)
Lineage: Eukaryota; Metazoa; Chordata; Aves; Galliformes; Phasianidae
Description: lncRNA (ENSGALG00010006423.1)
Source: RNAcentral
UCAGGCCUUCCUCUUUCUUGAGACAUCUCUAGAGUGCUUUUUGUUCUCUUCUAAGUAUCUAUUGAUAUACAAAAAAUAAAAAAUAAUAAUAAUAAAAAAAACACCAACAUUGGUUAUGGGCCACACUUCCAGGUGGCUCUUAUAGGAGCUGCUUUGCAUUUAAAAAAUUUUCAGGUCAUUUUCCAGUCCUUAUCAGCUCCAAGCCUGGUACACUUCAUAAGCACCUAGUAGCAGUUGAUAGAUCUUGGGCGAAGCUACUGGUUUGCAGGCAGUCACUUUUACGUGUCUUGUUUCUCUUGCUGACUUACUUCCCGUUGCUCUUGUUCUGAACACUGGUCUAUAUAACUUUCUAGGUGAAUCAUUAAAACUCACACAUCUCAGCCAAUUUAAGUCAAUGUAACUAUGGAACAUAAAACUCUCCAACAAAAAGAAUAAGCUGUUACCAAACAUUUAAAUUUUAUUAAAACAAAUCAGAAUUUAUAUAAAAUUUCAUUUGAAAGUAUUGAAAAUCUUCACUGUAACUCAAGUGCAGUUAUUAACUAUGCAGUUUCUGGUACAUAAAAUGGUGACACAUUAUUAAUAUAAAUAAAUCUUACCUACCUUUCUCUCCAAAACACCACAUACAAACAAAAUAUUUUUGUAGGUAUUUAAUUAUUUUCUCUGCUGUUCUCUACUAUCAAAAAGGCAGAUAUGAGUUUAAAAGCAAUAGUAUAAAUUUAUUGUGCAUACUUCUGUCACUUAUUCAGUGCUAAGGAUCUUUAAAUUUCAAAAUACAGCAAUAAGAACGAGCAUUAUUCUCAUGAUGGUCUGUAUGUGACUUCUGAUGUAAUUAUCCAUACGUUAACAGAAAUACAAUGUUUUUGUUAUGAGUUACAACUACACUCAAAGAGAUCUACCAUAGAGAUAUUGGUAUAAAGUUUUUAAAGAUUUCAGGUAUUUGGAGUCAAACAGAAUUAUUUUGAGGAUAAUUGGAGAGAGAGGAUAUGAAGAAACAUGACAUUAAUUAUACAGAUUAAUAUGCUAUGUGUUUUCUUUAGGGAAAAGGAUUGGGAAGCUGAUGUCAGUAUCAUAAUUUUCUCAUUAGUAGAAUAUAACUAUGGCCCAUGGGCACUGCCAAAUUUAGAGACCCUGGACUUCUUAAUAAAACACUGGUGAAAAGUCUCCUGCACCACCAUAGCUAAUAGUUCAUUGGUUUUGGAAUCAAGCUAGUAAUGGAAAAAUGCUGUUCUUCAUGUCCACAAGUCUUCUACAUGACCUGCAUCAAGAUUACCCUGACCAGCAGAUGCCUCAGCAGCAGAAUACCUAAUAAGAUCUCUUUGAAAGAACAUAUGCAAUCUAGCAGCCCCCAAACUGUGAAUGACUGUCAUAAAUUUCAGUACACUGGGUCUGUGUGGAUAAGAUAGUCUUACUCCCUGAAUGACUCACUAGACCAAAGGAAAGUAGUCUGCACUAUCACCUGAUGUAGCAUUUCAAAUGCUGUUUAUUAUCAAGGGCAUUUAUCUGUUUGUUUGUGUAAAAGAGUGCUUUUGAUCAAUGAAUAAAUUUGACACACAUAUCCAGGAAAUAAUACCAAAUUAACCUUUAAAUUGUUUCAUUUAGGAAUUCAUUUAUAUUCUGAGAAAUGUUCCAUAUUUUUUUUCUUAGUUGAGACUUUUCAUUGUAUCUUUCAGCAAUUUUGUCAUUAAUAUGCUCACUAACACAUUAAUGGAAGUCUGUUGUUCACAGUGUUUCAUUUUUUCAUAUUAAUUCAUAUUGUACUAUUUGUAUUCACGGUGGUGAACACUCCUUUUGAUCUGCAUCUUAUCACAUUAAUGAUUUUGCUACAAAAACCAUUGUAUUUUGAGACUUCAAUAAUCUGUUAGAAAAUUUAAAUACUAAUAAUUCAAAGUUGAUCAAAACAUAUGGCAAAAAGGUCAAUAUAUGAGCAGUAAUAAUCAGGGGUUAGCAAAGCUACUAGAAAAAUACAAAACUCAUCAAUAACCACUGUAUCAAAUAUUUUUAAAGAUGAAUAAUGACAUGAGAAUCUAGAGUUAGAUUGUUAAUUAAUUAUUAUUGCAUAAUUUGUAACUAAACUUAUUUCCAACAUUAAUUAAAUAGAUAAGGAUAUUGACACUGUUUUUAUGCCCUGUUGUUAUGCAUUUUCAUCUACAUCUUUUUCUCCCUCUCUGUCCUUUUUAUUCAGUGUAUCUGUAUUAGUUUUGCUCUCUGUUGAUGUGUUGUCCACAUUAUUCAGGCUGCUCCUGAAAACACAUUCAGACAUUUUCACAUUUCAAACAACUCAGUUCUAUGAGUACCUGUGGUAAAUAUGUAAAAUCCAGAAGGCUGUGGGGAAUUUGAAGCUAGGUAAAAAGGGCUUUCUUUCAUCCAUACUGUAUGCAGUACUGGGUUGAUGGUCAUUCUUUUUAGAAAUUAUAUUAUAUUUGUCACUUUCCAAUACCUCGAUGACAACCAAUCCUUAUUUUUUUUAGUAUCAGAUAAAUGCAAGCCAAAGUAAUCAAACUUCAGCUGGGAAUGUUUGAUUGUGGGCAGCUAAAGUUUCUAAACAUUAUCUUGUAUUUAAGCAUUUAAAUUCUAUUUUGUUUCAUUUCUUUAAAUACAGUUCCUCUGCAGAUUUGGAGGUAAAGGUUUUUAUUUACAAUAUUAAGCUUUGUUCCAAUUAUGCAGCACACCAGUAUGCUCUGGAGUUUAAGCAAGUAAACGACUGGAGAAACAGAAGUAAUGUUAUUUCUUAAGAAAGUUAAAAGAGAGAUGUGAAAUUUCCAGGAUCAAAACACACAAAAAAAAUGUUUCUAUCAAGACACAAAGUGGGUUUUGGUGUUCUUAGAUUCACAUCUAUUCAGUUCAAAAUUGCCUUCUUAAAAUGAUGUAUUUAAUAAUAAAGAAAGCACAGAAGUAGACUUCCAACUGCAAAACUGAUUUUGCUACUGUCACAGGCCAGGAUUUUAAUUAUUUAAUUAUUUAUUAAAAAGGGUUUCUUUGUAUAUUAUAGCUAAUUAAGUCUUAGGUUAGCUCAUCUUAGACAGCUAUAUACAAAACCUUUACCACUUUUUGCAGGCUCUCGUGUUAAAUGUUUCAUACUCACAAAGUAAUUCAGGUUUGUUCUAAGCUGAGAGUAUUUCAGGCAGGCUUCUGAACCUGCAAGCUAUUCUGUGCAGUUUGACCUUUCCAUCUGAGCACAGACUUUCUAACUCCCACAGCAGUGGUCUCUGGUGUCAGGGGCUGCCUACACACAGCAGCUUGCAAGACCAGAAUCAUCAUCAUGCAGGAGGAUCCAAAAGUACAUUAAAAGGCCACAUCAAAAAUCUAUAGAUGUGAAAUUAUUACUGGUUAGAUGUAUCAGAGGAGCUAUCUAUUAUCAGAGCUAUCAGAGGAGAUUUCCUAUAGUUCCAAUUAAAGUUUCAACUUUGGAACUUAGACUGCUAAGUUCUAUGACUACAAAUAGUCAUAGGAAUCUUUCUUGUGUAAAGAAGUAAAUCACCUUUGCUAUAAGUUAAAAUAAAAUAAAAUAAUUCCAUAUAUAUUUAAUAUGUUGCAGAAUUUGUUGUAUUCAUACGUUAUAUGAUACAAGUGGAAAAUCAACUAAUCUUCCUGAUCAUGCUCCUAAACGUUUGCUCUCCAGCUAACACAAUAUUACAGAUGAUUACAACUAAUUCAUGAGUAAAACUUAUCUUCCAUUUCAUCGCCACUGCCUCUCUCUAUUUAAGUGCUCAGAUUCCUGAAAUGCAAAUGUACCAGGAGGUAGUAUUUCAGAUUUCCAUAGUUUCAUCCUUGUCACCCUAUGCAUCCAUCCAUCCAAAGGUUCCUGUUUCUCUGUCCACCAGAUUUAAGGCUCCCAACAACAUUAUCAAGUGCAUUCACCAGCCCCCAUCUGUCUUUCAUCUCUCCUUUGGACUUGAGGUCAGUUUAACAUUUGUUUGCCCUAUGGUGUUAACUAAUCAUUCUAUUUUUCCAGCAGGUAUAUUUAUAUUUUGUUUGAUGCUAGGCCACCUGCUUUAAGGAGAACUUCAUCAGUGAUGUCCAGAAAGCACUUCAUCAGUCUUUAAGUCAUUGCUUGACAUUCUUUUGCCGCAGUAACUUUCAAACAUACAAAUACCCUUUGGCAGCAGGUAUGCAGGAGAUGUACUUACACUCCUGCCUGCUAGGAUGACAAAUUUUGUCUCCCCUGGUGUGUUCAGAAAAGAAGGGUGGUUUGAGACUGUGUAAACAUUCAAGUUUGCUUUAAACUGCCCUUAGGCAUUCCACUGGCUCCUUGGACACCAAAUCCUCUGUAUCUCAGUUUUAUCUUUCCUCUUUAGAUUGGAGAUGUUAAAAGAAUAUGAACCACAAUUUUGGUUUUGCAGUUUUAUAGUAGGCCCCACAUACAGGGGACAAAAUGGAGUCCCAGUUCCUGAUAGAUUUCUAGAUAUUUUCAUUUAAAUUCAUUAAAUAAAGUAAAAAUAAAAUAAAAUGAUAAAACUAAACAAAAUAAUUAUGAAAUUGGAUUCCCUGUGAAGAAUCCAAGUUAAUCCUAUCUAUUGAGACUGGUGAGUUGCUGCAUAUGAAUGAGAUCUGUUAGGCUAUUUCCUUAGUCUUACUCCUGCAGAAGUACUGCAAAAGUAAUGGCCUGCUCUUAAAAUGAAUAUCUAACCUAAUCUUGGUGCAGUGUUGCAAACCAUAGCUGCUGAGUACAGGUUGCUUUUUUUGUUGUUUGCUUUGGAUUUUUUUUGUUUUGUUUCGUUUUUUUUAAUUCCAUGGAAGAAUGAAGCCCAACAGUGAUCUUCCUGAGUUGUCCCUUUUUUCUUUUUUUUCCCCAGAAAGAUGAGGAAAUAGACUUCUAAUAACAUGAUAAGUCACAGUAGGACAUACAAAAACAACUUUGCAUUCUGCUUCCUAGUAGGUUUUAUGGAGAGCCUGGAGGCUGAAUCACCAGCACUUUUUCUUUGCCUUUCCUUUCCUUUCCUUACCUUUCUGUGAAAUGAUGUUGUGAUUUUACUGCUGGGAACAAAUGUACAAACACGAAAAAUGAAAUCAAGGAUUAAAAUUUUACUCAAGUCAGUCUGAAAUAUAUUUUAUUUUGACAACUCUGUUCCUUUUUUCCUAUUGCUUAUUCAACCACCUGAGUUCUCGUUUUAGUUUGAAUGUGUUUUCAGCUUAGCAGGAUACUAAAUGAUUCUGCUUGCAUGUCUGGUUUUUUGUUGUUGUUUUGUUUGUUUUGGGUUUUGGGUUUUGUUUUGUUUGUUUGUUUUUUGUUUUUUGGGUUGUUUUUUUUUUUUUUUUUUUUUUUUUUUGGCUUUCCAAAUAUUUAAUUGAACUCCCAUUUCUGGUACCACAAACUUGCCAGGUUACUUGCAUAAUACAAAGACUUUAAAACUUUCCAAUUGAGUUUUAUUUUUUACUUGAAUCUAAUUACUACUGUUGGACCUGGCCUUGUUUUCGCCGUUAUUCACUCUUCGAAGUUACUCAUUUCAGAGCUUUUAAAAAUCAUUCAAGUAAUUUGUCCAAUCAAGUUAGAUACUUGGUUAUUAUUAGUUGUUUUUUCCUGCAAGUCCAUGUAAGUAGUCCAGCUCCAUCUAUCUGUAUGAUCUAUUGAGCUGUGCUAUCUAUUUAUGACAUAAUGGAAAAGCAGGCAAGAGUGAUGGGAUCUGUGUGCUUGGCAGUAGCAGUUGCAAUCAAUAUUCCAGACAUGAACAUGCUGUCAGAAAUUAAGGAUGCACAGAACUGUAUUAUUUUAUCAUAGGCUGGGUUAUUUUCAAAGGAAUCUGGGGGACUUAGAGGCCCAGUUCUCAUUAAAUUCUAAUGGGAACUGGGAGUCAAAUGUUAUUGAGCUGUCUUCAAAAAAAAUCACAGCAGUGGAGAAUAAUUUGAUGAGGUCACCCAAUGAAGAUAAAUUCACCAUGAUUUCUACAUGCAGUUAAACAGCUUCUUGGGCUUAAUUCUUCCAUUUUAAGAGGAUUAAGGAUACCAAAAUAAAUUGUAUUUAUAUUUUCAUAGGAUUUUCAAUAAUGUUUUCCUAGCAAUAGUCUGGUUUAUUUUUUCCUUUUAGAGUCAAAUUGUUUUUAAUGUCAUACUUUGUCCUCACUUUCCCACAAUCUCAAGAGGAAGUGAUGAAAAAUGCAACUGCAGAUACAAUCUGCAAAACCUGGGGAGAGGCAGGGGUAAGGAAAGCAAGUAUGCAGUAGACAUUCUAUUACUUUCAUAUUCCGUGGGUAAUCGUGGAAGAAAGAAAGGGUGUGCUCAAGUUCAUAUAUCAUUUGAGUAGGAAGGAACCCUUAACGGUCAUCCUUGCAAUGAAAAAGGAUAUCCAAAGGUAGAUCAUGUUGCUUAGAACUCCUCCAACCUGAUCUUCAGUGUCUCCAGGGAGAGGGAAUCCACCAUUUCUCAGGGAAAUAUGUUACAAUGCCUCACCAUCCUCACUGUAAAAGACUUUUUCCUUAUAUCCUCUCUUUUAGUUUGAAAUCAUUUCCCCUUUUUCUAUCAUCACAGACCCUGCCAAAGAGUCUGUCCCCUUCUCUCCUGUAGGUCCCCCUUAGAUACUGAAAGGCAGCUAUCAGGCCACUUUUUAUGAGGGCAUGUAGGAACCUGGUCUAGUAGGAGAUGUCCCUGCUUAUAGCAGAGAGGUUGGAACUAGGGAUCUUAAGAAACCCUUUCAAGACAAACCAUUCUAUGAUUCUAUAAUUCUAUGACUCCUUCAAUAAUGUAGUUAUAUAUUAAAUUUUGUUCAAAUCCUUGUCAAAGACCUAACAACAUGCUGGGCUUCUGUAUAAUAAAAAUAAUGAAAAGAGGCAAACUGGAAUGGCAAGGAUUUUGGAAUGGUGAAGUGGAAUAUUUCCCAUGACCUUCCAGCUGUCCUAGAAGCAAUGGUCAGCAAGCUGGCUUGAUACCUUCUGUAUCAGUGCUCAUGUGUUUCCUCAUACAGGCAGAAAUACUUCUCAAUUUUUUCUUCUCACUUCAUGAUUCUACAGGAAAGUGUUUCAGCAAUUUGAAAUUUCACUCCUGUAAAAAGACUAAUUUUACAAUAACAGUGGGCAAAUUUAUAAAAGACUUAUAUAAGAAUGAUGGAGAUCUGUCUUUCUGGAUCAGAUUUUUUGUAAGACAUGCAAACUGUACAGCCCACUUGAAGAAUCCUGUUCUCGUCUCAUCACUGCAAAUAAAUAAUUCAACAAAUUUACAGGAGUGUGUUGGAAAUCCAAACCCACAGAUGAGUUCUGAGAUGCUGUUCUUAAUAAAAUCAAGUUUCCUUUGAGUUGAUUCAACUCAUAGAUCAUAAAACCAUAAAACUCUUUUGGGAAACACUCGACAUGUUCAUAAGUUCAUAGUCGUAUUUUCUCUUCCAUACAGUUUCAUAAAAUGGUCACAUAUUUAUAGAAGAGGUUUGCCUGCAAGCCGGGGUAUGCAGCUGAGGUUCUUUUUCUAUCAUUUGUUUUCUGAAAUCGAGGUAUGUAAAACUGAAAAUUAAAUAACAAGUUGAGGGCCUCAACUACUAGUAAGGGGUGAUUAACAGUGGUCUCUCUUUCCUCUCUCUUUUCUUCUUCUCCAAAUAUCCAAUGGUGGUACCAGAUAUACUAAUUAGAAAACCCAGUGCAGUAGUGAGGCAAUUUUCUUUUACAAUGCAACCUUUGCUGUGACUACUCCAUGAAAGUAAGACAAGAUCUGUUAAAAUAAUAUUAAAGAUGAGUUACCCAACUGAAUUAGAAAGUAGGUUUUAUACAAAAGAAGUGAGCAGGGAAAUAAAUAUAGAAUCAUAGAAUCAUAGAAUAUCCCGUGUUGGAAGGGAUGCCUAAGGAUUGAGUCCAACUUCUGAUUAAAAUGUAAAUAUGGUGAAUAAAGAAACAGAAAGAUGGAACAACUAGCUUUUUAGUCAAACUAUGCUUUCCUCCUGUCCUUUCAGUUUUCCACCAGUUCAAGUUUUCUCUAAACAUAUGAAUAUAUUUAUAGACAUACAGCUAUGCAUACAUGCAUGAACAUACACAUCUAUUCAGUGGAUGUGAAACAGCCUUCUAUCUAGCACAUUGUACCUAUGAUAAUAUAAUGGCUCCAGUUUAGUUAAAAUUUACAUAUGAUCCUUCACAUAGAACUCAGAUAUCUUAGAACACAGUUUUAUAUGAUGUUAAUGCAGCUAACAGUUCCAAAGAAAUAUAUCUGUUAUCCCCACUGUGGCUAUUCUGUAUUCUUUGUCAGAUUUCAUUUUUAUUACCAAUAGUCAUUCCACAAUUCUCAUACUUUAUUAAAAGACAUUUGUUUUUUUAUGAGGGAAUGUUUUCUAAACUUAUGAUCUCAUUACAAUUAACAACAAUAACUUGCAGCAUUGAUUUCCAGAAGAAAAAAAAAAAAACAAAACAUGAGAAAAUGGAUGCAUUUUUAAACAACUAAGUGUUUUGCUUGGUUGUGGUUUUGUUUUUGGUUUUGGUUUUUCUUUUCAUCUUCUCUCCACUCAGAAUGUUUCUAAAUGUUACUGGAAGUACUGUCCUUCACAUAGUCAUUGAAACUCCAAAGUGCCUAUGAGUAAAGUAAUACAUUCUCAAUCAGUUGAAAAUAAUUGGGUGGAAAACAUUCUGCUACUUCCAGACCCAGUCAAAUCAGUGUAAUGGUUUCUGAGAAAGAAGAAACUUUAUUCAACUUUCAUUCAUGUAAAGAAUGAGAUAAUAGAAGACUUCCAUGGUAGAUAAGCACCCUGCAGGUACUGUAGCUUGUUGCAGCAUACAUAAGGCCUUGUUGGGUACAUCACUUAAGGUAAAAACUCUCUUAAAUUGUAUUCUUCCUCCAGGCUUCAAAUACUUUUUUUUUUUUUUUUUUAAUGGAGUGAAACAGUUUCUGGAGGGAUUUUGAACCCCAGUAUGACUUUUUCUUUUGAAUGGCAGCUCUGAUCUUGGAGAAUUUUCUAUAGUUCUUCCCCAUCUUUAAUUAGGUAAAAUUUUCCUAUACAGCAAUACCUGGGAUCUCACCAUCAGCUUAAAUCAUUAUUUCCUAAUCAGACCAAGAAAAACAAAAACAAUCAAUGGUAUGGAUGUGUCUUUUUGGUAUUCUUUAUGCCCACAACCUUUGUGUGGUUUUCAGUUUUAAUUGAAAUUCUGUAACAGUAGAGUUCAAAGGCAGAGUGGAUUUCAGCCAGUGUACUGCAGCAACAGCAGCAGCACUGCCAGAGAGGUGUGGUUGUUUGACAAAGAAAAAUGUUCCUUUGCUUUUUAUAGCACACCAUUGUUACCGGCUUCCCUUUUAUUGCAGUGGGAAAGAUAGCCGCCACUUUAGUGUUCAAACGCUGUGCCCAUGAGAAUCCCUUCUCAGCUGCUCGUACCUUUCCAAAUUACAUUCCUCCUGAGCUGAGACUAUUCACCUUCACUCUCCACACAGACACAACUGAUUGAAGAAAGCCUGCAUUAACAAAGAAAUAUCAUUAAAUUAAAAACUGGAAAAAAUAUAGAGCUGUAAACAUGUUAGAGAAGAGUGUUUUGAACAGUGGUGACUAGAAUUUACUCUAACUUGACUUAUUUGACCUUGCUUAUGUUUAACAUUGGUUGAUUUUCAUUCAAGACAUGCUAACAUUUAAAUGAUAUAUGACCUAUAUACACAUACAUGUGAGCAGUAGGAAAAGCAUGAAGAAGGAAAUUAGUUCUUUAAGGAAAGCCUUGCAUAGCUCAACAUUACCAAAAAGGCAUGAAAGACUUCUUAGCAAGGUUUACUAGCUUUUACAUGCUACUUCAUUUUAAAAUGUCCAUUCUCUCAUUUUGAUUCAG